This 522-nucleotide ribosomal RNA is filed under the name uncultured bacterium. RNAcentral's name for it is "bacterial SSU rRNA". It matches the Rfam family "Bacterial small subunit ribosomal RNA", at positions 983 to 1509 of the family's 1533-position model. The record is from RNAcentral.
GACAUGGCAGGAAUCCUGGAGAGAUCCGGGAGUGCUCGAAAGAGAACCUGCACACAGGUGCUGCAUGGCUGUCGUCAGCUCGUGUCGUGAGAUGUUGGGUUAAGUCCCGCAACGAGCGCAACCCUUGUCAUUAGUUGCUACGCAAGAGCACUCUAAUGAGACUGCCGGUGACAAACCGGAGGAAGGUGGGGAUGACGUCAAGUCCUCAUGGCCCUUAUGGGUAGGGCUUCACACGUCAUACAAUGGUACAUACAGAGGGCUGCCAACCCGCGAGGGGGAGCUAAUCCCAGAAAGUGUAUCGUAGUCCGGAUUGUAGUCUGCAACUCGACUACAUGAAGUUGGAAUCGCUAGUAAUCGCGGAUCAGCAUGUCGCGGUGAAUACGUUCCCGGGUCUUGUACACACCGCCCGUCACACCAUGGGAGCGGGUUUUACCAGAAGUAGGUAGCUUAACCGUAAGGAGGGCGCUUACCACGGUAGGAUUCGUGACUGGGGUGAAGUCGUAACAAGGUAGGCGUAGUGCU